GCUGAAAUAGCUCAGUUGGGAGAGCAUUUUACUGAAGAUCUAAAGAUCCCUGGUUCGAUCCCGGUUUUUGGCA
This 73-nucleotide transfer RNA is filed under the name Salmo salar (Atlantic salmon). It matches the Rfam family "tRNA". From Rfam's summary of the family: Transfer RNA (tRNA) molecules are approximately 80 nucleotides in length. Their secondary structure includes four short double-helical elements and three loops (D, anti-codon, and T loops). Lineage: Eukaryota; Metazoa; Chordata; Actinopteri; Salmoniformes; Salmonidae. The record is from Rfam by way of RNAcentral.